GACGAACGCUGGCGGCGUGCUUAACACAUGCAAGUCGAACGAAGAGCGAUGGAAGCUUGCUUCUAUCAAUCUUAGUGGCGAACGGGUGAGUAACGCGUAAUCAACCUGCCCUUCAGAGGGGGACAACAGUUGGAAACGACUGCUAAUACCGCAUACGAUCUAACCUCGGCAUCGAGGAUAGAUGAAAGGUGGCCUCUACAUGUAAGCUAUCACUGAAGGAGGGGAUUGCGUCUGAUUAGCUAGUUGGAGGGGUAACGGCCCACCAAGGCGAUGAUCAGUAGCCGGGCCGGGGGGAAUGACGGGCCCAUUGGGAAUGGGAAACGGCCCAGACCCCUACCGGGGGCAGCAGGGGGGAAUCUUCCGCAAUGGACGAAAGUCUGACGGAGCAACGCCGCGGGAGUGAUGACGGCCUUCGGGUUGUAAAGCUCUGUUAAUCGGGACGAAAGGCCUUCUUGCGAAUAGUGAGAAGGAUUGACGGUACCGGAAUAGAAAGCCACGGCUAACUACGUG
RNAcentral lists this ribosomal RNA (510 nucleotides) under uncultured bacterium. RNAcentral describes it as "partial 16S ribosomal RNA". It matches the Rfam family "Bacterial small subunit ribosomal RNA", at positions 28 to 507 of the family's 1533-position model. The record is from RNAcentral.